Molecule: long non-coding RNA, 696 nt
Organism: Ornithodoros turicata
Lineage: Eukaryota; Metazoa; Arthropoda; Arachnida; Ixodida; Argasidae
Exons: 6
Source: RefSeq, a predicted model, not a curated record
CUGGUUGUUCAGUCUCGCAGUUAUGAAGCGGUUAUGUCGGCGCGUGUGUGGCGUCUGGUGUUGAAUUUUGAGGAGCCUAUUGCGCUCAAGGAUUAUAUGAAACUUCAUAGUCGUCACGUAGCUUCCAGAGGAAUGUAUGUCGUCUUCCUCAAGGUCUUUCUUGCCAGUGUUGCCAUCCAUGAGCCGCUAUGUUGGGUGACAUUCAGGUCACGUUGUGCGACGGGUGGGAUCCCUGCGCCGGAACUUUAUUGUGUGUGCCUGAAAGUGAGAUUGGAUAGUGCAUUGUAAAAGUGUUGCGGUUCAUCUAUUCCGGAUAUCAUGGUUUCGAAUAAGGAAAUUUACUCAGUAUACGGAUUAACCAUCAGCUGGCAUAGAAGGCGACAUGCAAGAAACAUGCUUCCAACAGGACGGCAGGACGAAAGAAAAAUGUAUACACUGGACAAAGCCGACUGUGCUGCACGACACGCAGGAUCUACUCUAGCACGGACACACCCCUGAUUUCUGGUUCUCAUCACCGCCACCAGGGUGAAGAUGAGCGUCACCAGCGGGUCCAUUCCGAAAUGUACUCCGUGGAAGUGCGUUCACUUCCGCCACGCUGACACCCUGCUUUAACGGCGGCUAAUUGGCAACACCAACGGCACAUACCAAGAUUGUCCAGUGUGCGAUGCGAUGUGGAAUCCUAGAGCCAAGUGGAAC